Molecule: ribosomal RNA, 220 nt
Filed under: uncultured bacterium
Lineage: Bacteria
Description: partial 16S ribosomal RNA
Rfam family: Bacterial small subunit ribosomal RNA
Source: RNAcentral
GCAAGUCGAGCGAGACCUUCGGGUCUAGCGGCGGACGGGUUAGUAACGCGUGGGAACGUACCCUUUUCUGCAGGAUAGCCACUGGAAACGGAGAGUAAUACCUUAUACGCCCUUUGGGGGAAAGAUUUAUCGGAGAAGGAUUAGCCCGCGUUAGAUUAGGUAGUUGGUGGGGUAAUGGCCUACCAAGCCUACGAUCUAUAGCUGGUUUGAGAGGAUGAUC